RNAcentral lists this ribosomal RNA (363 nucleotides) under uncultured bacterium. Its description in RNAcentral is "partial 16S ribosomal RNA". It matches the Rfam family "Bacterial small subunit ribosomal RNA", at positions 338 to 698 of the family's 1533-position model. The record is from RNAcentral.
CCUACGGGUGGCAGCAGUGAGGAAUAUUGGUCAAUGGGCGCUAGCCUGAACCAGCCAAGUAGCGUGAAGGAUGACUGCCCUAUGGGUUGUAAACUUCUUUUAUAUGGGAAUAAAGUGCAGUAUGUAUACUGCUUUGCAUGUACCUUAUGAAUAAGGAUAGGCUAACUCCGUGCCAGCAGCCGCGGUAAUACGGAGGAUCCGAGCGUUAUCCGGAUUUAUUGGGUUUAACGGGAGCGUAGGCGGUUGGGUAAGUCAGGUGUAAAUGUUUGAGGCUCAACCGUAAAAUUGCAGUUGAUACUGGCAUCCUUGAGUACUGUAGAGGUAGGCGGAAUUCGUUGUGUAGCGGUGAAGUGCAGAGAUAUC